GAUGAACGCUGGCGGCAGGCCUAACACAUGCAAGUCGAGCGGACGGAGGGGGAUUGUUCUUGGCUGCUGUGGGCGGCGGGCGGGUGAUGAACACGUGUAUGACCUACCUAGAAGACUGAGGUAAGGAAGCGAAACCUGAUCUAGUACCGGACAAUAUGUUGAACGGCAGGGUUCAAAAGUCAAAGAGGGUCUUGCUGUGACUAAGAGGUGGAACCGAGCUGGAUUAGCUAGUUGGUAAGGUAACGGCUUACCAAGGCGACGAUGCAUAGCCGACCUGAGAGGGUGAUCAGUCACACUGGAACUGAGACACGGUCCAGACUCCUACGGGAGGCAGCAGUAGGGAAUCUUACGCAAUGGGCGAAAGCCUGAUCGAGCAACGCCGCGUGAGUGAUGAAGGUCUUCGGAUCGUAAAACUCUGUAAUUAGGGAGGAAGAUAUGUGUAUGUAUCUGUGCCCAUCUUGACGGUACCUACAGAAAAAGCCCCGGCUAACUACGUG
RNAcentral lists this ribosomal RNA (497 nucleotides) under uncultured bacterium. Its description in RNAcentral is "partial 16S ribosomal RNA". It matches the Rfam family "Bacterial small subunit ribosomal RNA", at positions 28 to 507 of the family's 1533-position model. The record is from RNAcentral.